AUUGAACGCUGGCGGCAGGCCUCACACAUGCAAGUCGAGCGAGCGGCGGACGGGUGAGUAAUGUAUGGGGACUUCCCGAUAGAGGGGGAUAACUACUGGAAACGGUAGCUAAUACCGCAUACUAUCGGAUAACCCAUAUGGGAUAAGCUAGUAGGUGAGGUAAGGGCUCACAUGGUCGACGAUCCCUAGCUGGUCUGAGAGGAUGAUCAGCCACACUGGGAAUGAGACACGGCCCAGACUCCUACGGAGGCAGCAGUGGGGAAUAUUGCACAAUGGGAGCAAGCCUGAUGCAGCCAUGCAGCGUGUAUGAAGAAGGCCAUAGGGUUGUAAAGUACUUUCAGUCGGGAGGCGUUACCGACAGAAGAAGCGCCGGCUAACUCCGUGCCAGCAGCCGCGGUAAUUC
This 403-nucleotide ribosomal RNA is filed under the name uncultured bacterium. Its description in RNAcentral is "partial 16S ribosomal RNA". It matches the Rfam family "Bacterial small subunit ribosomal RNA", at positions 30 to 526 of the family's 1533-position model. The record is from RNAcentral.